AUGAGGGCUCAUAAUGACACCUGGUUUGCGGAUUACUUGCUAAGAGUAGGCAAUGGCACCGAGGAAGUUGAUGAUCAAGGAAACAUACGACUCCCUGAAGAUAUUUGUGUGCCGUCUACAGGCGAGGGUGACGACCUAGAGAAGCUGAUUGACCAUGUGUUUCCGAGACUAGAUGACAACAUGUCCGAUCCGAAUUACAUGACUUCACGUGCAAUCCUCUCCACCACGAAUGACAACGUCGACAAGAUAAACAUACGCAUGGUAGAGCAUUUUCGGGGAGAAGAAGUAAUCUACCAUAGCUUUGACAGUGCAGAAGACGCCCCGUAUGGCUACUACGCUCCUGAGUUCCUAAAUGGAUUGACUCCCAACGGUCUGCUUCCGCAUGCACUCAAACUGAAGCUCAACUGCCCUGUCAUACUUCUGAGGAAUAUUGAUCCAGCUAAUGGUCUGUGUAACGGGACAAGGCUUGUGGUGCGAGGUUUCGAGAGGAACGCCAUCGACGCAGAAAUCAUGAUCGGAUAA
RNAcentral lists this ribosomal RNA (522 nucleotides) under Triticum aestivum (bread wheat). RNAcentral describes it as "partial small subunit ribosomal RNA". The record is from RNAcentral. Lineage: Eukaryota; Viridiplantae; Streptophyta; Magnoliopsida; Poales; Poaceae.